Molecule: transfer RNA, 20 nt
Filed under: Austrobaileya scandens
Lineage: Eukaryota; Viridiplantae; Streptophyta; Magnoliopsida; Austrobaileyales; Austrobaileyaceae
Description: partial tRNA-Arg
Source: RNAcentral
GGGCCUGUAGCUCAGAGGAA